UACGUAGGGGGCAAGCGUUGUCCGGAAUCAUUGGGCGUAAAGAGCGCGUAGGCGGCCCAGUAAGUCCGCUCUGAAAGUCAGAGGCUCAAUCUCUGAAUGCGGGUGGAUACUGCUGGGCUAGAGUCCGGAAGAGGCGAGUGGAAUUCCUGGUGUAGCGGUGAAAUGCGCAGAUAUCAGGAGGAACACCGAUGGCGAAGGCAGCUCGCUGGGACGGUACUGACGCUGAGGCGCGAAAGCGUGGGGAGCAAACAGG
RNAcentral lists this ribosomal RNA (253 nucleotides) under uncultured bacterium. Its description in RNAcentral is "partial 16S ribosomal RNA". It matches the Rfam family "Bacterial small subunit ribosomal RNA", at positions 524 to 776 of the family's 1533-position model. The record is from RNAcentral.